AACGAACGCUGGCGGCAUGCUUAACACAUGCAAGUCGAACGAGAUCUUCGGAUCUAGUGGCGCACGGGUGCGUAACGCGUGGGAAUCUGCCCUUGGGUUCGCAACAACUUCUGGAAACGGAAGCUAAUACCGGUUGAUGACGUAAGUCCAAAGAUUUAUCGCUCAAGGAUGAGCCCGCGUAGGAUUAGCUAGUUGGUGGGGUAAAGGCCCACCAAGGCGACGAUCCUUAGCUGGUCUGAGAGGAUGAUCAUCCCCACUGGAACUGCGACACGGCCCAGACUCCGACGGAGGGCAGCAGUAGGGAAUAUUAGACGAGGAGCGAUAGCCUGAUCCAGCCAUGCCGCGUGAGUGAUGAAGGCCUUAGGAUUGUAAAGCUCUCUGUCCCGAGAUGUUAAUGACAGUACCGGGUGAAUAAGCUCCGGCUAACUCCGUG
This 433-nucleotide ribosomal RNA is filed under the name uncultured bacterium. Its description in RNAcentral is "partial 16S ribosomal RNA". It matches the Rfam family "Bacterial small subunit ribosomal RNA", at positions 29 to 507 of the family's 1533-position model. The record is from RNAcentral.